UCCACGCCGUAAACGAUGUCAACUAGCCGUUGGGCCUAUAUACAGGUUUAGUGGCGGAGCUAACGUAUUAAGUUGACCGCCUGGGGAGUACGGCCGCAAGGUUAAAACUCAAAUGAAUUGACGGGGGCCCGCACAAGCGGUGGAGCAUGUGGUUUAAUUCGAUGCAACGCGAAGAACCUUACCUACCCUUGACAUCCAGAGAAUCUGUUAGAGAUAGUAGAGUGCCUUGGGAA
This 233-nucleotide ribosomal RNA is filed under the name uncultured bacterium. RNAcentral's name for it is "partial 16S ribosomal RNA". It matches the Rfam family "Bacterial small subunit ribosomal RNA", at positions 794 to 1026 of the family's 1533-position model. The record is from RNAcentral.